Frieseomelitta varia is the source of this 596-nucleotide long non-coding RNA. RefSeq lists it as uncharacterized. The record is from RefSeq and is a predicted model, not a curated record. NCBI's taxonomy places the organism in Eukaryota, Metazoa, Arthropoda, Insecta, Hymenoptera, Apidae. The transcript is spliced from 3 exons.
UACACGUCAGUCUUAACUUUACUUCGUUGUGCAAAAUAAAAAAAGAAUUGCCAUUCACUUUAAUAGCUCGAACGCAGUCAAUCUGUUAAAUUUAUAACCGGAGCAUUUGCCCCUGCGUUCGAAGUGUAUACUACUCGUCAUUGCUCGAUUUUUGAAUUCAAAUUCCUCGCGAGGGAUUUUUAAAAUCAAAUCGCGCAGUUAACUGGUGAUUAAAAGUGAAAAGAAAGGACAACGCGUUGAACUUCGACGUUUGGCAUUUUUCUCAACCAGUUGCGCCGGCAACUGGUUUGCGGACCAUAACGAGUGACCAAAACCGUAUACAAUAUAUUCGUCGCUUUCUUCUUGAACUCGUCGGGCAUGAUAUCAUACUGGCUGGAAUUUAUUGAAAAGUGACAAAUUUAUUAAAAGUAACGAGUGCAACGAAGGAAAAAGGAUUUCUGCAACUUUCUACAACGAAAUUCAUUCUCUCCCCCUCCCUCGCGAAAAGAAAGGAAAUGUUUGAACAUGUUUGAAGGCCACGAGUGCAACGAAGGAAAAAGAAUUUCUGCAACAAUACGACGAAAUUCAUUCUCUUCUUUUUACAAAAAGAAAAAAAA